This is a long non-coding RNA of Pygoscelis adeliae (Adelie penguin), 273 nucleotides long. RefSeq lists it as uncharacterized. The record is from RefSeq and is a predicted model, not a curated record. The transcript is spliced from 3 exons. Lineage: Eukaryota; Metazoa; Chordata; Aves; Sphenisciformes; Spheniscidae.
GCUGAUGCUGCUGUUCCCGCAGGAACGUCCUGGAGCUGAUCGAGUUCUUCGAGGAGGAGGAGAGGUUUUACCUGGUGUUCGAGAAGAUGAGAGGAGGCUCCAUCCUGACCCACAUCCACCGGAGACGCCACUUCAACGAGCUGGAGGCCAGCGUGGUGGUGCAGGAUAUCGCCAGCGCCCUGCACUUUUUGCACAACAAAGGAAUCGCGCACAGGGAUCUAAAACCAGAAAAUAUUCUGUGCAAGAGCCCAGACCAGGUGAGCGGGGAGCAGC